This is a non-coding RNA of Vigna umbellata (rice bean), 391 nucleotides long. Lineage: Eukaryota; Viridiplantae; Streptophyta; Magnoliopsida; Fabales; Fabaceae. The record is from RefSeq and is a predicted model, not a curated record.
UGUUUAUUUAAUGCUUUUUUGUUUCAGGUGAGAAAUGCUUCGAAGUUGCUGCACAACGAGCGCGCGCUCUUGGCGCGUUGGUUUUCCGGCGAUGCUCAAUCCUGUCUCAAUAGCAACCGCGAUGUGUGGAAAACUCGAAUCCCUGAGUCUUCAACAAGAAGCAGUGUCUUUGAACCGGCCGCCGGCUUUACUAAGAGAAACAUCUCCGUUGCUAGCAUUAAAAGGGGUUCCAUUAUCGGGUCUGGGUUCACUGGAGUGAUUUCGCAAAGUUCACAGGUGUUGUCAAGGAGAUGCUAUGCGUCAGCCUCAGAUCUACCCCCCCACCAGGAAAUUGGAAUGCCUUCUCUCUCACCUACAAUGACAGAGGUUUCUACUUGUCUGAAUCAAAUUA